AACCUUCAGUAACUGCUGCAUUACUAGGAUAACUUAAUUCAACAUCGAGGUGUCAAACUUUAUCUUCGAUAGCUUCUCUAAGAUAAAAUUAACCUGUUAUCCCUAAAGUAGCUUUUAUUUAUUUAUUGUCAAUUUUUUUUUUAAAAAUUGACAGGUCAUUAAAAUCCACUUUGUGAUUGUUAAAUUAAUAAAUUAAACAAAAAUUUAAUUCUAUUAAUUAUAUUGCAUUCUUUAUUUUUAAAAUGCUGUUGCCCCAACCAAACUACCAAGAUAUAAUUUUUUAUACAAUAAUCUAUUAAUAAUUGUAUUUAUUAUAAAAUAUAGUUAAGCUUUAUAGGGUCUUCUCGUCUUACAGUUUUAAAUAGCAUCUUCACUAUUAUUUAAAUUUAAAUUUUUUUAUAUUUAAGACAGUGGAAACCUCGUAAAACCAUUCACCUACGUUCAUCAAUUAAAUGACUAUUUAUUUUCCUACAUUACCACCGUCAAGAAUACAGCGGCCGUUGAGUCUUUUUUAUUAAUCCCUUAACAUUAUAAAAGACCACUGGGCA
Molecule: ribosomal RNA, 548 nt
Filed under: Halopteris geminata
Lineage: Eukaryota; Metazoa; Cnidaria; Hydrozoa; Leptothecata; Halopterididae
Description: partial 16S ribosomal RNA
Source: RNAcentral